CAGCAGCCGCGGGAAUACGUAGGGUGCGAGCGUUAAUCGGAAUUACUGGGCGUAAAGCGUGCGCAGGCGGUUUCGUAAGACAGGCGUGAAAUCCCCGGGCUCAACCUGGGAAUGGCGCUUGUGACUGCAAAGCUAGAGUGCGGCAGAGGGGGAUGGAAUUCCGCGUGUAGCAGUGAAAUGCGUAGAUAUGCGGAGGAACACCGAUGGCGAAGGCAAUCCCCUGGGCCUGCACUGACGCUCAUGCACGAAAGCGUGGGGAGCAAACAGGAUUAGAUACCCCUGUAGUCCCUGUCUCUUAUAC
Molecule: ribosomal RNA, 301 nt
Filed under: uncultured bacterium
Lineage: Bacteria
Description: partial 16S ribosomal RNA
Rfam family: Bacterial small subunit ribosomal RNA
Source: RNAcentral